GACGAACGCUGGCGGCGUGCUUAACACAUGCAAGUCGAGCGAUGAACCCGAAGCUUGCUCCGGUGGAUUAGUGGCGAACGGGUGAGUAACACGUGAGUAACCUGCCCUUGACUCUGGGAUAACUGCGGGAAACUGUAGCUAAUUCCGGAUACGACCCUCGGCGGCAUCGCCAGGGGGUGGAAAGAAUUUCGGUCAAGGGAGGGACUCGCGGCCUAUCAGCUGGUUGGUGAGGUAACGGCUCACCAAGGCGACGACGGGUCGCCGGCCUGAGAGGGUGACCGGCCACACUGGGACUGAGAAACGGCCCAGACUCCUACGGGAGGCAGCAGUGGGGAAUAUUGCACAAUGGGCGCAAGCCUGAUGCAGCAACGCCGCGUGAGGGAUGACGGCCUUCGGGUUGUAAACCUCUUUUAGUAGGGAAGAAGCGAAAGUGACGGUACCUGCAGAAAAAGCACCGGCUAACUACGUGCCAGCAGCCGCCGUAA
Molecule: ribosomal RNA, 485 nt
Filed under: uncultured bacterium
Lineage: Bacteria
Description: partial 16S ribosomal RNA
Rfam family: Bacterial small subunit ribosomal RNA
Source: RNAcentral